Molecule: long non-coding RNA, 1581 nt
Filed under: Homo sapiens (human)
Lineage: Eukaryota; Metazoa; Chordata; Mammalia; Primates; Hominidae
Description: HSALNT0354155
Source: RNAcentral
AUUUUAAUUUGCCAACAAAUCCUAAUGUGGACUUUGUCACGUUGUGAAAUAAAGUGAUUUUUUGGUAUGGAAAUAUGUGUUAAGACAGACUGUUAGUCUUUGCACUUUAACAACUAGCUGAUACACUUACGUCACAUGGAUGAAAACAUACACAAGUGCACUGUUGUUGGAUAAGGACUCCUGGGUGGUUAGAAGAAUGUGCAGAUCUAACUACUCCCAUUAAGACCAUUGAUUAAAAUGAAAAAUGCUUAUAAAGGUGGAGAUCUCUCAGUUUUAGUCUUAUUGCGUGCCAGAAGCACUAAGGAAUUGCUGCUAAAUAUAAGACAAAUGGACUUGAGGAAAUCACUGAUGACUAACUUGAAACUCUGCCUCCUGAGAUCACACAGAUGAUGAAGAUCAUGUCUCCAAGUCUUUUCUGCCGUUGCCAGUAUUCUCUCCCAAUCUCCUGUGGGCAACUUCUUCGGGAAAACACUCAUGCAAUUUCAUAAGGACAAGCGAAAAUAUGAAGAAGCUGGAUCUUGGAACUAGGCUUUGAUCACAGAGCGGAGCUGAGAUGAAAGUCCAUCCACUCAUUCAACAAAUAAUUGAGUACUUACAAAAAUUUCUGCUGUAUGGAGCUUAUAUAGUAGUGAAUAUCAAUUCUUAUUUUAUGGAUUAUAAAACAGAACUUUUUGCAACAAUUUUACACUACCCUAGGGGUACCUAUGAGUCUUCAUGCCUCAAGUAAUUGUCCUGUCCAUGUGACUAUGGAAGCCCUGAAAUCUUUGAAACCCCAGAUGACCCAUUUCACCAGACGCUUGGACAUUCUCCGUCGAGUUUGGAUUUAUAAUGCCACAUUUUGUUGGAACUCAGAGUUAUGAGUGGCCCUCGCCAUACCUACACUUUCUGACUGAGCUCCUCUCUACCCUGAAUACAAGAGACCCUAAUAGGCAGGAAUAUCAUCACCCCUCUUCAGCCUGAAGAUGUUACAGAAGAUGGAUAUUUGUCCGUUUACAACCCUUAAGAUUAAGGGUUCCCCUGUAAAAGGGAGGGGGAAAAUAUGUCAGAGAUGUUUGAACCAGAGCAACUUCGUCCUGAAUAGUGGCUCGGUAAAGUGAGGCUGACACCUAUGGACUGCAUUCCCAGGAGGUUAGGCAUUCUUAGUUACGGGAUGAAAUAGGAGUUUGGCACAAGAUGGGUCAUAAAGACCUUGCUGAUAAAAGGAUGUGGUACAGAAGCUGGCCAAAACUCACCAAAAUCAAGAUGUGAUGAAAGUGACUUCUGGUAGUCCUCACUCCUCAUUACACUAAUUAUAAUGCAUUAGCAUGCUAAAAGACACGUUCACCAGCACCAUUAUGGUUUACAAAUGCCAUGGCAAUAUCAGCAAGUUACCCUAUAUGGUCUUAAAAGGGGAGGAACCCUCAGUUCUGGGAAUUGCCCACCACUUUCCCAGGAAACUCAUGAAUAAUCCACCCUUUAUUUAGCAAAUAAUCAAGAAAUAACUAUAAGUAUAAUCAGUUGAGCAGCCCAUGCCACUGCUCUGCCUGUGGAAUAGCCACUCUUUUAUUCCUUUACUUUUUUAAUAAACUUGUUUUCACUUUA